RNAcentral lists this ribosomal RNA (237 nucleotides) under uncultured bacterium. RNAcentral's name for it is "partial 16S ribosomal RNA". It matches the Rfam family "Bacterial small subunit ribosomal RNA", at positions 28 to 261 of the family's 1533-position model. The record is from RNAcentral.
GAUGAACGCUAGCGGCAGGCCUAAUACAUGCAAGCUGAACGGUAAAUGUUGUAGCAAUACAAUAUGAGAGUAGCGUAAGGGUGCGUAACACGUAUGCAAUCUAACCCGCAACUGGAAGGAUAGCUCCCCGAAAGGGGAAUUAAUACUCCAUAAGAUCACGAGAGGGCAUCUGAUUGUGAUUAAACUCCAAGGGGUUGCGGAUGAGCAUGCGUCUGAUUAGUUAGUUGGUGAGGUAAC